UUAGAAUAAAGACAGCAAGUUCAGUUUCCUGCGUGUGGAGUCUGAGCCGCCUGUGGGACAUCCGAGUUAGAGUGUCUGAAAGUUAGCAGGACACACACAGCUCCGGACUCAGAGCAGGAUCUGUGCCCGAGCUACAGAUCUGAAGCCUACAGGAGUGGAUGCGGUCCCUGUCCUUGAGCGCUCACUGUCCAGUCAGCAAGAGACACGCAUCGCUGCAUCAUUUCAGUGCAAUACGACACCAAGGCAUGACCCAAAGGCACCCAGUGAGACUCAAGCCCAGGACGGGGCCAGGACUUGGUUUCAUCACCAGGACCGCUGGGUGAGGAUCAUGUAAGCACAGCUGGAAGGGGGGACCAAGGACAGCAGACAGAGAGCCAGCGUGGCCCUGGUGACAUCACUGGAGCUUUGCCAAGUGAGCUCUGCCCUAGCCCUGGCUUGCAGAGCAGCAAGUCCCCUCAUCUUCUGGUGACUGUCUUUUCAGAGAGCCAGUCUGGGACACGGCCACACCAGACGGAAACCAAAAGGCAUAAUAGUAAUAGCAUCAUAGGUCAUGUACACAUACACACUUUGUUAUUGUAAUGUAAAAAUAUGAAAAUAGAUGUCUAUUUGAAGUUAUAUAUUUGUCUCUGUUGUUUACUUUUCUGGUUCAUAAAUGCUGCUAUUUAAACAAACUGACAAUAGGACUAGUUAAAAGAAGCAAUUAGUACUAAUUAAUAGUACGGCCAAUGAAACAAAUAUGAAAAACCCCACUAUUUUUAUAAUGUCUC
Non-coding RNA from Microcebus murinus (gray mouse lemur), 767 nucleotides. The record is from RefSeq and is a predicted model, not a curated record. Lineage: Eukaryota; Metazoa; Chordata; Mammalia; Primates; Cheirogaleidae.